Long non-coding RNA from Schistocerca cancellata (South American locust), 750 nucleotides. RefSeq lists it as uncharacterized. The transcript has 3 exons. NCBI's taxonomy places the organism in Eukaryota, Metazoa, Arthropoda, Insecta, Orthoptera, Acrididae. The record is from RefSeq and is a predicted model, not a curated record.
UUCCAUAAUCGAAUCUGGAAAUCCGCUUCUAGUUGGUAGGUUUCCAGUUCCGUAAGCGGUUUUCACGACUUUUGUAAACGCUCAACCGGUUUUGAAGCGGUAUUGGGCUUGCAUUUCUUGUUAUCUGCGAAAUGUCGGGAAAAUGUGAUAAUGGACAAAGUAGCAGGCGAUCCAUAUGCUCUGAUAGAAGAAAAACACAUGACAUUUGUUGGAUGGCAAGAGAUUCAGGAAUGCGGAUAUUUUUGCUUUGCUGGUGAAAGCCAUGGCUGAUAUAUACAUGCACCAGAUCACUAAAGAGACUUCAACGACGCCAAGUGGCGAAAUACUAUAAGCGGUAAUGAUCGUUCGGAUUUUCCGUUGUACCGUGAAAUGGCAAGUACCCUUGACGAGAGGCUGUCAGCUUGAUUGCUAGAACGCAGUGUAGAUUCUACACCAUGUGGAGAAGGUACAGCAGUUUCGUUAAUUUUAUAUUUAAUAUCAUAAAUAAAACGCUACACCGUACAUUUGUUUAUUGUACAGAAUCUGCAGACACGGACAAACUUCAACAUCAGAACCGCAAGAUGAGGUUGCAUUUACAGUUCUCCAGAUGACUCGCCGAAUAUUACGGUGUCUGCAACCAGCAAAAAGUUAUCAGAAGAAUUUGAGAAAGACAGACAGUGUGAGAAGCAGCUGUCGGAGAAUAUCCAAAGUAGGCAUGCGGAAGAGACAAAACAAUUAGUAAACUCAUUUUUAAGUGGCCUUCACACCAUU